GAUGAACGCUAGCGGCAGGCUUAAUACAUGCAAGUCAAGGGGGUAGCAAUACAACCGGCGCACGGGUGAGUAACGCGUACACAAACAUGCCAUAUACUGGGGUAUAGCUUUGGGAAACUGAAGGUAAUCCCCCAUAACAUUGCGAGAGGGCAUCUGAAUUGCAAUUAAAGUUUCGGCGGUAUAUGAUUGGUGUGCGUUUGAUUAGCUAGUUGGUAGGGUAACGGCCUACCAAGGCGACGAUCAAUAGCUGGCGUGAGAGCGCGACCAGCCACACUGGAACUGAGACACGGUCCAGACUCCUACGGGAGGCAGCAGUAGGGAAUAUUGGACAAUGGAGGAAACUCUGAUCCAGCCAUGCCGCGUGAUAGAUGAAGGCCCUCUGGGUUGUAAAUAAUCUUUUAUCUGGGAAGAAACUCCUCU
This 420-nucleotide ribosomal RNA is filed under the name uncultured bacterium. Its description in RNAcentral is "bacterial SSU rRNA". It matches the Rfam family "Bacterial small subunit ribosomal RNA", at positions 28 to 457 of the family's 1533-position model. The record is from RNAcentral.